AGUGAACGCUGGCGGUAUGCCUAACACAUGCAAGUCGAACGGCAGCACAGUAAUAGCUUGCUCUUACGGUGGGCGAGUGGCGGACGGGAGAGGAAUACAUCGGAAUCUACUUUUGCGUGGGGGAUAACGUAUGGAAACUUACGCUAAUACCGCAUACGACCUACGGGUUAAAGCAAGGGAUCUUCGGACGUUGCACGAUUGAAUGAGCCGAUGUCGGAUUAGCUAGGUGGCGGGGUAAAGGCCCACCAAGGCGACGAUCCGUAGCUGGUCUGAGAGGAUGAUGAGGCACAGUGGGACUGAGACACGGUCCAGACUCUUACGGGAGGCAGAGGUGGGGAAUAUUGGAAGCUGGGGGCAAGCCUGAUCCAGCCACACCGGCUGGGUGCAGAAGGCCUUCGGGUUGUAAAGCCCUCUUGUUGGGAAAGAAAAGCAGCAGGUUAAUACACCGCUAUUCUGACGGUACCCAAAGAAUAAGCACCGGCUAACUUCGUG
Molecule: ribosomal RNA, 492 nt
Filed under: uncultured bacterium
Lineage: Bacteria
Description: partial 16S ribosomal RNA
Rfam family: Bacterial small subunit ribosomal RNA
Source: RNAcentral